RNAcentral lists this long non-coding RNA (4870 nucleotides) under Homo sapiens (human). Its description in RNAcentral is "HSALNT0283193". The stretch from base 1970 to 2075 matches the Rfam family "mir-223 microRNA precursor family". The record is from RNAcentral. Lineage: Eukaryota; Metazoa; Chordata; Mammalia; Primates; Hominidae.
CAGCUGGGAGUUGGUGGAGGCAGGGCAGUGGCCUGCUACUAUUGCUGCAGUAGCAGACCCUUUCACAACAGCAUUGUUUUGUCAUUUUGCAUCCAGAUUUCCGUUGGCUAACCUCAGUCUUAUCUUCCUCAUUUCUGUUUCCUGUUGAAGACACCAAGGGCCCUUCAAAACACAGAAGCUUCUUGCUCACGGCAGAAAGCCCAAUUCCAUCUGGCCCCUGCAGGUUGGCUCAGCACUGGGGAAUCAGAGUCCCCUCCAUGACCAAGGCACCACUCCACUGACAGGUAUGGUAUCCAUUUGCCCUCUCUUCUUGGAUUCUCAAGCUGGGGCAGAGUCCAUGGCAGCCAAGGGUGGCUUGGAUCUGCCCAUCCCAUUCUCUUCAGACCCUCCUCAGGGAUUAAGGUCAAAGGUGGGAGGAAGAAGGCUUCCAUUGGCCUUUUAUCCUAGAGGUUCUAAUGGAGGGGAAAAGGGGAUAGGAUAUUUUCUAUCCAAUCAGGAUGUUUAGGAGAUAGUCACAUGGAAGUGGAAUGGCCUUUGGACCCAGGAGUCAGGAAACCUGAGUAGCAGUCCUGGUUUUACCAUUUACCCAAUGUGUAUCUUUGGGUAAGUCCUUUCUCCAAUCUAGGACACAGUUUUUUCACCCCUUUUGCAAAAUAAAAAAGUAAAAAGAGGAAAAGAAUGAUUAGAUAGAUGCUGUCUAGAGACCCAUGGUUAUUAGAUUCCUAAUUUUCAUGAUUGUCAGCCCUCUGUCAAGAAAGAAGAUGAGAGUAAUCUUUGCAUAUGUAACUGUGGGUGGGGCUGAACACAUUCAAGAGGAGAGUGCUGGUGGUAAUCCAUAUAGCACUCUCUGAGAGGCAUGACUCAAAGAUGAAAGCCUCUUUUCUAGUCCAAUCUUUGACUCCUAGAGAUUCAAAAUUGAAAGACUCUUAGAGACUAGGUACAUAUGGAAGAAACUGAGGUCCAGAAAGAGGAAGAAAGGGACUUGCCCAAAGUCAUACAGAGAAUCUGUAGCACAGCUGGGUCUGGGCUCCCAGGUCAGUCCUCUUUUUGCUCUAUCCUAGGAGGACUGAGACAUCAAGCAGCAGGACCUGUCCUGUAACUGACCCAGGACAGGUCCUGCUCAUACUAGAGGCAGUCUGGGAUUUUUAGGCAUGGUCCUGAGGACUUCUUCUUUUCUUCUAUUUUUCUUUCAGGUACUUGGCUCACUCUGAGUGUUCAGAGAUUCCUAGACACCUACUUACCCCUAAUUCUUCUGGUCUAUUCCCUCCAAUUCCCUCCAUAAAAACUGACCCAUCCUUUGCAUCAACAAUAGUGGCUUGAUGACGCUCUUCAGUAGAGGAUUUUGCAUUUCAUAUGGGGAAAAAUGAUGUUAUUCUAAGUAAUAUAACAGACCAAGAGAAGAGCUUUCAAAUUCCCUUAAUAUCAUCCCAUAUAGAUAUUUAUGUCUUCUUUCUAUGGGUCUGGUGAACAUUUCUCAACUGAAUGUGAUUUUCUUACAUACACUCCAUUGGAGAGGCAUACCAGUCUAGUUUCAGCUCAACCACUAACUCCUUCCAUUAAUACUGAAGCAAUGUUGUCUAUAAGGCUCCACAAAUUUCAAAGUACUAAUAAUUUUUAGCCCCUUUCAUGCCUCCUUUCCAGCCUUUCUGGAGGUGAAUAAAGUCAGAAAGUGCAUUCAAAAGGCUGUGAACACCUCCAGCUUAUCUAGGUCUUCUUACUGGAGCUGACAGCCAAUGAGUGUAAUGAUACAAAAAAGGUAACAAUCCAUUUCUUUUUCUCCUGCCAUCCCCAACUCAGACUCUGUUAAUCAGCUUGCUUGGCUGGCCUCCAACCAUAGGUCCAGGGGCUGAGACAAGGUCCUUUUGAGCUCCUAUGUGGGAGGCUCUGGAAAGCUUAGCAACACUUUCCAACAACUUUGCCAGGGUCACAUCUCCCAGGAAGAUCUCACUUCCCCACAGAAGCUCUUGGCCUGGCCUCCUGCAGUGCCACGCUCCGUGUAUUUGACAAGCUGAGUUGGACACUCCAUGUGGUAGAGUGUCAGUUUGUCAAAUACCCCAAGUGCGGCACAUGCUUACCAGCUCUAGGCCAGGGCAGAUGGGAUAUGACGAAUGGACUGCCAGCUGGAUACAAGGAUGCUCACCAAGCACCAAGUUCUCACAAGUUAUUUUAUGUGACUUUGCAGGAACUGAGGCAUUAUAUCUGAGGACACCAGGGGAAAAGUGUGGCAUCUCAGGGAAAUACAGCCCUGGGCUGUGUCUACACACACCAUGAGAGUGCUGAUGGGGGCGCAAUAGUCUUGAAAAUGUAUAAAGUGUCCAGGAAUGGAAGUGCUCUUUGAUUCAUUAUUAUUUUCUUCCUUCAUAUUCCCCUCCCAGAGUCUCCUAUCUAGGACAUCAGCAUUCUCACACAAGCCUAAUGGCUUAUCUGAGUAAGCAGGGCUUAGAAAUUCACUUUCUUGAUACUCAGUCUUGCCUUCUAAACACUCCUUGAUCUUGCCUACCUCUCCCCUUUUCCACAUGUCUUUUCCUGUAGGAACACUUUCUCCAUUUAUUCCUGCCUAUCCAAUUCUUCCCUAUAUUUCCUGGACCAGCUAAAGUCCAGUGUUUCCAGAGACUUUUGAAAGUCAACUUACACUUUUUCCUUCUUCAUUCACAAAGCUCUUCUUCCCUGGGCCCUGGUAUGUAUGCCUUUCUCUCCUACUGUCUAAUAGCACCUCGUAAAUUGUCAAUGAACUUUUCUAAGGGGUAUUCUUGAAUUCCCAACUAGAUUGUGAGCUUCUGGAAGACAAGGCUAUGUCUUUGAUUGUUGUCUCCCCUACCACAGCCCAGUACUUUAGUUACAGAAAAUAAUAAAUAUUUACUGAUUGAUUGACUUUCCUCUUGUCCACUAGCUUUAGGUUUGGGGGCCAAAUUCUACCCUGGAUUUUGAAAAAUUCAAACUGUGAACACCACAAUGUUAUAGAGCAUAUGAGGUAGUAGCCAGCAUGAAGGAUGUUUUCUUCCUGAGAAACAGUGUCAAGGGCUGGAGGAAGAGGGCAAAAUAGCAGACUCAGAGGGCAAAUAAAUUUUGGUAUUACUUGGUCACACAAGGUUAUACAGGUGUUUUCUUGUAGGAUUUUUCAGAGCCUUUAAUAGUCUAAUGUUGCAUUGAGAAUCUCAAAGAGGAAACCAUAGAAUGAGGCAUUUGCCAUACCUAUCUGAUCAUGAAUUUUCUUUUCCCCCACAGCCUUCUCCUGUGUCAAUGUCCAAUGAAGCACGAUUUGGGAAACUGUCCUAGAGAAACUUUAUACCUUCCCGCUCUUCUGGAGAUCUUUUCCUCUUUUCAUUCAUCUACUUUCCCCAACCAGCCAUCUGCCUAAGAAAGGUCACAUGUUAUCAUCUCAUUUUUGUUUAGCCUCUGCAGCUGUGGACUAUCUUUAUUACAUAGGAAUUCUUUACUAGCUUGUCCUGUAUUUAAAAAUAUUCUAAGUUUUGAGGCAAAGAAGAUCCAGAUGCUGCAAUAAAUAUAUGCACUGAGGAGUUCACAGGCCUGACUUUUGGUCUCCUUUCUACCACUAACUGUGUUUUUGUUCCUCUCUGAGCUUCAUUUUCUCAUCUCCAAUACGGAAGUAUUAGAAUCAGUGAUCUCUAGGCUCUUUAAGAUUAAUGACUUUGAGAUAUCCCUGGGAGUCCUUAGCUCUUAUGGAGCAGCGUCCCUGGAUGUGUGGCUCCUUUUACCAGUGAAAAUGCAACCAGGAUUCUCUUCCCAACACCUAAAACUCACUUUUUCUAUGGGUAGUAGGGAAAGAUAAUGGGUAUUUUCAAAGGCUGUAGGGUCUGGACGCAGAGUUGUUUCAUGAAGGAAGUUGGGGUUUCCACUGGGUGGAGGCCCUAUUUCAGAGGCUUGUAAGCACGAUGGGGAAGAAAGAGUUGUUCCUUUCGCCAACUAGGAGAAGCUAGCGUCUGGAAUGAGGAAAAUGUUGAGGUUUUUACCCUGGAUUUGGCAUGUUGGGUGGCGGUGAAGUGGAGGACUCCUUUUUGUUACUUUCGUGUACUAUUUUGACUUCUGUAAUCAUUGCAAAAGGGGAGCAGCUCCUUGUGAAACAUGAGCUGACCUAGGGGCUGCAUGGGAACCAGAAAUAGCAACAUGGCAGCUUCCUUGAAGAGUGCAGAAGUUGAUUUGACAUUAAUUACAUCGAGAAAAUAAAACUGUGUCAACCUGGGUCAGAACAGGUCCUCACAGCGGAGCCUGAUUUAAAGGUGUAGGAACUUAUGUACACAUACAAACUCUCUCUCUCUCUCUCUGUCGUGCGCACACACACACACACACACACACACACACUCCUAGCCCUAUUCCUCCUUGAAGAGAAAGGCUUUCUUGCUCUUAUCCCCACCUCACAUUGUAAGAAGGGGCCAGGAGCUAAAGAAGAUAACAUAUGAAAAAUGCAACUACCCCCAGGAUUUUAAGAUUCAAAGAAGUGGAAAUCCUUGGGAGUGGUGCAUCCAUACUUGGGAAAGAAGGAAAUCCCUUCAUCUCUGCAUUCAUAGUCCCCUGAGACAGAAAGACUUUUUCUUUCUUAGGCUUCCAGUUGAUGUGGGAAGAAUCAUCCAGGUGGACCUGGCAGGAUGACAGGUUGGGUAAUGGAAGCCAGGGGAGUACUGUUUAAUCAAGUAUUCACUGUUCUCCAGCUGGGCUUACCAGUGGAGUGAAGUAGGAGUGGCAUGUGUGGGAAGGGGAAAGACCAAAAAAGCAAAAGUGACAUCCAUAUUCUCGGGCCCCAGCCAUCUUAACUAGUCUCACUUUAAUUACUUUUAGUAGGUCCUACCAUACUGUGAGAGAAGACCAACACAACUGAAGUUGCUGUUAUGAUUAGAUAUUUAUUGAGCACCAG